AUGCAGCGCCCACCCCCCGCAAACUCGUGGGCAGCUGCGGGCGCAAAUAGGCCGGGGAGGAGCGGCAGGACUGCGGGGAACCCCUCCUUGCGCGUCUCCCGCCACCUCCGUUUUCAGCCCACUCUUUGUUUAGUGAAAAGCGGGAACGUGGGGAGGAUAGAAGAGCAGUUUUUGUUUCUUUCCUCGUUUAAACUAAAGCUCGCUUUCUGGCGAAGAGGGAAACCAACGACCCGCGCUGACGCUUGCUCGCUUCGGGGCCUGGAGCGGGGCGCGCAGGGGGCAGCUUGCGCCGUGCCGCUGUCCCCACGCUCUGCCCGCGUGGAUCUCCAGCCGCGUCCCGCCUCCCCACGGGCCACGCCUGCCGACCCCGUCGCGCGCUUUCUCGUUCGUGCGGAAGGGCAGAUGUGGGGGCACCUGGGUGUUGGAGGCUCGGAGGUCGUAAAAUUGGCCCCAGGUCCGGGCUCUUCCGAAGCCCGGGGCCGGAAGAGCUGGGGCUUGGGCCGCCAGUCCGGGGAGACCUCCAAGCGGAACAGAAGGAGCACCUGCAGACGCUCGAAGCUUCCCCUGGGGAAAAGCAUACGUCGGUAGACACGCUGCGCGGCGCCAGAGCUAACUCUCAGUUUACCGCGCGUCCUGCCUUAGGGGGUGCUGAGGCCCUUGGGGGGAACCCUUGAGCAAAGCAGAGGACGCGGGAGACCGUCCGGGUCAGGUGGGCCGAGACCCACGAAGGUGGAGGUCUGCUUCCCUACGUCCUGCGUAGAAAAUGAUUUUUAAACAUUUUAUUUUUGAAAAUGAUUUUUAGUCACACUUGUCGUGGAGGUAGGAAAAGGGAGGGAAGUCAAAAGAAAGGAGGAGGCCGACCUUUAUUUUACAAGAAAAACCCAGGAAAAAUGGAUUGGUCGAAUUGUGGAGUAGGAGGGAGGGAAGGAAGGAUGAAGACAUUCCUUCUUUGUUCUUAAAAGCCCGAGCACUUUGGUUUGUUUGUUUGUUUCCCAAAAUCAAAAUACAGAGAGGCAGUCCUUGUAGGGGCAUGCUUAUGCAAUCGAGAGAUGCUGCUCAUUAAUUAGUUCACUUUUAAAACAUUUGCUGGGCUGAGCAAAGUUUUUAGAAGGUUCUUUCUCAGAACCCAGCCCCGAUGUGAAGCUCAACUCGAUUUAAGGCAGACCUAGGAUCAAAAUUUCAGACGAGAUCAUGCGUGUAUACAUCUGUACAAAAAUACACAUGCCACAGAGUUUGUAUUCCUUCCAGGCGAAGACAAGAGAUUCUAUAGUAAAUUAUACGUGAUGGCUGAGUUUUUUUCUGGUAACCUCUUGUCACCAGAGAGGAGUACUGAGUUAUCUUUCUCUCCAUUCCCAAUUAAUAAAUCUACUGAGAGAGAGAGAACUCUCCUUAUG
This 1394-nucleotide long non-coding RNA is filed under the name Felis catus (domestic cat). RNAcentral describes it as "lncRNA (ENSFCAG00000051244.1)". Lineage: Eukaryota; Metazoa; Chordata; Mammalia; Carnivora; Felidae. The record is from RNAcentral.